RNAcentral lists this non-coding RNA (24 nucleotides) under Cricetulus griseus (Chinese hamster). The record is from RNAcentral. Lineage: Eukaryota; Metazoa; Chordata; Mammalia; Rodentia; Cricetidae.
UUUGGACAGAAUGGAGCUAUGGAC